CAUGUAGGCGGCAUGACAAGUCUGGUGUGAAAUAUCUCGGCUCAACCGAGAAAACGCACUGGAAACUGUCAAGCUAGAGUAUCGGAGGGGAAGCUAGAAUUCCUGGUGUAGGGGUGAAAUCUGUAGAUAUCAGGAAGAAUACCGGCGGCGAAGGCGAGCUUCUGGCCAGAUACUGACGCUGAGAUGCGAAAGCGUGGGGAGCGAACAGGAUUAGAUACCCUGGUAGUC
Molecule: ribosomal RNA, 228 nt
Filed under: uncultured bacterium
Lineage: Bacteria
Description: partial 16S ribosomal RNA
Rfam family: Bacterial small subunit ribosomal RNA
Source: RNAcentral